GAGAAAGUGGGGGAUCUUCGGACCUCACGCUAUUAGAUGAGCCUAGGUCGGAUUAGCUAGUUGGUGAGGUAAUGGCUCACCAAGGCGACGAUGUAACUGGUCUGAGAGGAUGCAUCACACUGGAACUGAGACACGGUCCAGACUCCUACGGGAGGCAGCAGUGGGGAAUAUUGGACAAUGGGCGAAAGCCUGAUCCAGCCAUGCCGCGUGUGUGAAGAAGGUCUUCGGAUUGUAAAGCACUUUAAGGGAGGAAGGGCAGUUACCUAAUACGUGAUUGUUUUGACGUUACCGACAGAAUAAGCCGGCUAACUCUGUGCCAGCAGCCGCGGUACAGAGGGUGCAAGCGUUAAUCGGAAUUACUGGGCGUAAAGCGCGCGUAGGUGGUUUGUUAAGUUGGAUGUGAAAGCCCCGGGCUCAACCUGGGAACUGCAUCCAAAACUGGCAAGCUAGAGUAUGGUAGAGGGUGGUGGAAUUUCCUGUGUAGCGGUGAAAUGCGUAGAUAUGGAACACCAGUGGCGAAGGCGACCACCUGGACUGAUACUGACACUGAGGUGCGAAAGCGGGGAGCAAACAGGAUUAGAUACCCUGGUAGUCCACGUA
This 600-nucleotide ribosomal RNA is filed under the name Pseudomonas fluorescens. RNAcentral describes it as "bacterial SSU rRNA". It matches the Rfam family "Bacterial small subunit ribosomal RNA", at positions 200 to 801 of the family's 1533-position model. Lineage: Bacteria; Pseudomonadati; Pseudomonadota; Gammaproteobacteria; Pseudomonadales; Pseudomonadaceae. The record is from RNAcentral.